This 215-nucleotide ribosomal RNA is filed under the name Campeiostachys nutans. RNAcentral describes it as "Elymus nutans partial small subunit ribosomal RNA". The stretch from base 46 to 215 matches the Rfam family "Eukaryotic small subunit ribosomal RNA", at positions 693 to 864 of the family's 1831-position model. Lineage: Eukaryota; Viridiplantae; Streptophyta; Magnoliopsida; Poales; Poaceae. The record is from RNAcentral.
GGAUCAAGGAAUCGGUCAUGCCUCGGUAUGUACUGGUUUUAUUGGUUCUCACCUUCUAAAGAACCAUAAUGUCAUUUAUUUGAUGUUAUGGGGAAUUAGGACUGUUACUUUGAAAAAAUUAGAGUGUUUAAAGCAGGCUCACGCUUGAAUACAUUAGCAUGGAAUAAUGAAAUAGGACGUUUGAUUCUAUUUUGUUGGUUUCUAGGACCGCCGUA